This 494-nucleotide ribosomal RNA is filed under the name Shouchella clausii. Its description in RNAcentral is "bacterial SSU rRNA". It matches the Rfam family "Bacterial small subunit ribosomal RNA", at positions 377 to 862 of the family's 1533-position model. The record is from RNAcentral. Lineage: Bacteria; Bacillati; Bacillota; Bacilli; Caryophanales; Bacillaceae.
CGAAGUCUGACGGAGCACGCCGCGUGAGUGAGGAAGGCCUUCGGGUCGUAAAGCUCUGUUGUGAGGGAAGAAGCGGUACCGUUCGAAUAGGGCGGUACCUUGACGGUACCUCACCAGAAAGCCACGGCUAACUACGUGCCAGCAGCCGCGGUAAUACGUAGGUGGCAAGCGUUGUCCGGAAUUAUUGGGCGUAAAGCGCGCGCAGGCGGCUUCUUAAGUCUGAUGUGAAAUCUCGGGGCUCAACCCCGAGCGGCCAUUGGAAACUGGGGAGCUUGAGUGCAGAAGAGGAGAGUGGAAUUCCACGUGUAGCGGUGAAAUGCGUAGAGAUGUGGAGGAACACCAGUGGCGAAGGCGACUCUCUGGUCUGUAACUGACGCUGAGGCGCGAAAGCGUGGGGAGCAAACAGGAUUANAUACCCUGGUAGUCCACGCCGUAUACGAUGAGUGCUAGGUGUUAGGGGUUUCGAUGCCCGUAGUGCCGAAGUUAACACAUUA